This 661-nucleotide ribosomal RNA is filed under the name uncultured Actinomycetes bacterium. RNAcentral's name for it is "SSU rRNA". It matches the Rfam family "Bacterial small subunit ribosomal RNA", at positions 245 to 915 of the family's 1533-position model. The record is from RNAcentral. Lineage: Bacteria; Bacillati; Actinomycetota; Actinomycetes.
CUUGUUGGGUGAGGUAAUGGCUCACCAAGGCGACGACGGGUAGCCGGCCUGAGAGGGUGACCGGCCACACUGGGACUGAGACACGGCCCAGACUCCUACGGGAGGCAGCAGUGGGGAAUAUUGCACAAUGGGCGAAAGCCUGAUGCAGCGACGCCGCGUGAGGGAUGACGGCCUUCGGGUUGUAAACCUCUUUCAGUAGGGAAGAAGCGAAAGUGACGGUACCUGCAGAAGAAGCGCCGGCUAACUACGUGCCAGCAGCCGCGGUAAUACGUAGGGCGCAAGCGUUAUCCGGAAUUAUUGGGCGUAAAGAGCUCGUAGGCGGUUUGUCGCGUCUGCCGUGAAAGUCCGGGGCUCAACUCCGGAUCUGCGGUGGGUACGGGCAGACUAGAGUGAUGUAGGGGAGACUGGAAUUCCUGGUGUAGCGGUGAAAUGCGCAGAUAUCAGGAGGAACACCGAUGGCGAAGGCAGGUCUCUGGGCAUUAACUGACGCUGAGGAGCGAAAGCAUGGGGAGCGAACAGGAUUAGAUACCCUGGUAGUCCAUGCCGUAAACGUUGGGCACUAGGUGUGGGGGACAUUCCACGUUCUCCGUACCGUAGCUAACGCAUUAAGUGCCCCGCCUGGGGAGUACGGCCGCAAGGCUAAAACUCAAAGGAAUUGACG